GGAUUGAAGCUUGCUUCCAUUGCCGGCGACCGGCGCACGGGUGAGUAACACGUACCCCACCUUCCGUUUACUCGGGGAUAGCCUUUCGAAAGAAAGAUUAAUACCCGAUAGUAUGGUGAGAUUGCAUGAUAACACCAUUAAAGAUUCCUCGGUAAACGAUGGGGAUGCGUUCCCUUAGGUAGUAGGCGGGGUAACGGCCCACCUAGCCUACGAUGGAUAGGGGUUCUGAGAGGAAGGUCCCCCACAUUGGAACUGAGACACGGUCCCAACUCCUACGGGAGGCAGCAGUGAGGAAUAUUGGUCAAUGGGCGAGAGCCUGAACCCGGCAAGUAGCGUGAAGGAUGAAGGUCCUACGGAUUGUAAACUUCUUUUAUAAGGGAAUAAAACGCUCCCACGUGUGGAGCCCUUGUAUGUACCCUUAUGAAUAAGCAU
RNAcentral lists this ribosomal RNA (432 nucleotides) under uncultured Bacteroides sp. Its description in RNAcentral is "bacterial SSU rRNA". It matches the Rfam family "Bacterial small subunit ribosomal RNA", at positions 70 to 493 of the family's 1533-position model. The record is from RNAcentral. Lineage: Bacteria; Pseudomonadati; Bacteroidota; Bacteroidia; Bacteroidales; Bacteroidaceae.